Long non-coding RNA from Priapulus caudatus, 102 nucleotides. RefSeq lists it as uncharacterized. The transcript has 3 exons. Lineage: Eukaryota; Metazoa; Priapulida; Priapulimorpha; Priapulimorphida; Priapulidae. The record is from RefSeq and is a predicted model, not a curated record.
AGCUAGAAUAACUAGCUCUGGAACUUAGAAUAAGUAGCUCUGGAACUAGAACAAGUAGCUCUGGAACUAGAAGCAACUAGCUCUGGAACUAGAAAACUAGCU